GAUGAACGCUGGCGGCGUGCUUAAUACAUGCAAGUCGAGCGAACAGACGAGGAGCUUGCUCCUUUGACGUUAGCGGCGGACGGGUGAGUAACACGUGGAUAACCUCCCUAUCAGACUGGGAAAUCUUCGGGAAACCGGAGCUAACACCGGAUAAUAUCUUGAACCGCGUGGUUGAAUAGUGAAAGUCGGUUUUUCUGUCACGUAUAGAUGGAUCCGCGCCGCAUUAGCUAGUUGGUAAGGUAACGGCUUAUCAAGGCAACGAUGCGUAUCCGACCUGAGAGAGUGAUCGGCCACACUGGAACGUAGACACCGUCCAGGCUCCUACGGGAGGCAGCAGUAGGGAAUCUUCCGCAAUGGGCGAAAGCCUGACGGAGCAACGCCGCGUGAGUGAUGAAGGUCUUCGGAUCGUAAAACUCUGUUAUUAGGGAAGAACAAAUGUGUAAGUAACUAUGCACGUCUUGACGGUACCUAGUCAGAAAGCCACGGCUAACUACGUG
This 497-nucleotide ribosomal RNA is filed under the name uncultured bacterium. RNAcentral describes it as "partial 16S ribosomal RNA". It matches the Rfam family "Bacterial small subunit ribosomal RNA", at positions 28 to 507 of the family's 1533-position model. The record is from RNAcentral.